AUCAACAGGGAUUGCCCCAGUAACGGCGAGUGAAGCGGCAGGAGCUCAAAUUUGAAAUCUGGGGCCCCCGGCCUCCGAGUUGUAAUUUGGAGAGGCUCCUUCGGGGGGGAGCGCUGGCCCAUGUUCCUUGGAACAGGACGUCGCAGAGGGUGAGAAUCCCGUGCCAGGCCGGCUGCCUCCUCCCGCGUGAAGGGCCUUCGACGAGUCGAGUUGUUUGGGAAUGCAGCUCCAAGCGGGUGGUAAAUUUCAUCUAAAGCUAAAUACCGGCGGGAGACCGAUAGCGCACAAGUAGAGUGAUCGAAAGAUGAAAAGCACUUUGAAAAUAGAGUCAAAAAGUACGUGAAAUUGUUGAAAGGGAAGCGCUUGAGACCAGACUCAGACCCAGGCAAACACCGCGCCCCCAGGGGCCGUGCAAUUGCCCGGUGCUGGGCCAGCAUCAGUUGGCGUGGCGGGACAAGGGCGCGGGAAAUGUGGCUCCCCUCGGGGAGUGUUAUCAGGCCCGCGCCGGAUGCCGCCGACGCCGACUGAGGACCGCGCCUCGGCUAGGAUGCUGGCUUAAUGGCCUUCAGCGACCCGUCUUGAAACACGGACCAAGGAGUCUAACAUCUAUGCGAGUGUUUGGGCGCCAAACCCUUGCGCGGAAUGAAAGUGAGCGGAGGUGGGAACCCCUCGCCGGGCGCACCAUCGACCGAUCCUGAUGUCUUCGGAUGGAUUUGAGUAGGAGCAUAGCUGUUGGGACCCGAAAGAUGGUGAACUAUGCCUGAAUAGGGUGAAGCCAGAGGAAACUCUGGUGGAGGCUCGCAGCGGUUCUGACGUGCAAAUCGAUCGUCAAAUUUGGGUAUAGGGGCGAAAGACUAAUCGAACCAUCUAGUAGCUGGUUCUGC
This 884-nucleotide ribosomal RNA is filed under the name Helvella involuta. RNAcentral describes it as "eukaryotic LSU rRNA". It matches the Rfam family "Eukaryotic large subunit ribosomal RNA", at positions 64 to 960 of the family's 3401-position model. Lineage: Eukaryota; Fungi; Ascomycota; Pezizomycetes; Pezizales; Helvellaceae. The record is from RNAcentral.